Dreissena polymorpha is the source of this 598-nucleotide long non-coding RNA. RefSeq lists it as uncharacterized. The record is from RefSeq and is a predicted model, not a curated record. The transcript has 3 exons. Lineage: Eukaryota; Metazoa; Mollusca; Bivalvia; Myida; Dreissenidae.
GGUUUUCCGAACUAAAAAACUGGUUAUUAGAUUGGCGAAUGCGGGCGGGCUGGCUGGCGGGCUGGCGGAACAAGCUUGUCCGGGCCAUAACUAUGUCGUUCAUUGUCAGAUUUUAAAAUCAUUUGGCACAUUUGUUCACCAUCAUUGGACGGUGUGUCGCGCGAAAUAAUUACGUCGAUAUCUCCAAGGUCAAGGUCACACUUUGAGUUCAAAAGUCAAAAAUGGCCAUAAAUGAGCUUGUCCGAGCCAUAACUAUGUCGUUCAUUGUCAGAUUUUAAAAUCAUUUGGCACAUUUGUUCACCAUCAUUGGACGGUGUGUCGCGCGAAAUAAUUACGUCGAUAUCUCCAAGGUCAAGGUCACACUUUGAGUUCAAAGGUCAAAAAUGGCCAUAAAUGAGCUUGUCCUGGCCAUAACUAUGUCAUUCAUUGUGAGAUUUUAAAAUCAUUUGGCACAUUUGUUCACCAUCAUGGGACGGUGUGUCGCACGAAAGAAUCACGUCAAUAUCUCCAAUGUCAAGGUCGCCACGACUAAAAAUAUAUUUUUUUUAAAAACAAACUUACAAAGGGGUUAAUUUUGUUUGUUCAUUUCAAAAGUUCA